CAGGGAGACAACAAAAUGUAAAUAUUAAUUUUGUCACCUUAGGUCGAUCGGUAUCUCAGAUUCUUAUUUUUUAAGAAUUUCAGUUUCUAAGUUUUUUCUAGGUCACACCCAUCACUUUUUCCUGGGCCAUUAGCUCAGGUGGUUAGAGCGCACCCCUGAUAAGGGUGAGGUCCCUGGUUCAAGUCCAGGAUGGCCCAUACAUAUCUCUAUGUUGGGGGUAUAGCUCAGUUGGUGGAGCGCCUGCUUUGCAAGCAGGAUGUCAGCGGUUCGAGUCCGCUUACCUCCACUGAAUACCACCUCUUACGUAUACUUAAAGAGGGAAAUUGUUUUGAGUCGUGUCCUAUUUUGCUCUGAGCGAAUCUAGCUUCCUAUUUUAUUAAAUAAAUAAGAUGCUGGACUCAUUGAAUUUUUUUCAUUGUUUUCAGAGAACCUUGACAACUGCAUAGAUUAUUUUUGAAGACAAUAAGCAUCUUUAAUGAUGCAGAUUUAUUAUUUGUGCGAAUGCAUUAAAUAACAAUUCUAUUAAGCUGAUGCUUCAAUUAUUGAAGUUAUU
Molecule: transfer RNA, 553 nt
Filed under: uncultured cyanobacterium
Lineage: Bacteria; Bacillati; Cyanobacteriota
Description: 16S-23S ribosomal RNA intergenic spacer
Rfam family: tRNA (bases 214-286)
Source: RNAcentral